CUUGAAGGCUGGAGUCAUGAAGGGGUCCCUCCAGAGGUGAGUUUCCAACAACAAGCUCACAUUUUCUGCAGAUCUGUUUUCUGUGUAUUUGAUCAAGAAAAGAUCUCAGUGAUGCUAAAGGGUUGAGGUCUUCUUCAAGAGAGGAGCAGAUGACAGCAUAUGUGGGGAUGAAGCAUACCAGCACUUUGGUGAGUCUCCUGGCUCAUGUGAGGACUGUGUUUUCCAGCCCUGGGUGGAACCAGCCAGGAGAGACUUGCUGAGAAUCCAUGCCUCAACAAGUGGUUCAAAAGAAGCCUGCUCAGGUAAGAAAAACCAAUUAAAAUUAUUUUGCCUACUUCAAGUGAGACAUUUUUUUUAGUAUUUCAACUGGCCUCUUUUACUGUAAAG
This 387-nucleotide long non-coding RNA is filed under the name Cyanistes caeruleus (blue tit). Its description in RNAcentral is "lncRNA (ENSCCEG00000009926.1)". Lineage: Eukaryota; Metazoa; Chordata; Aves; Passeriformes; Paridae. The record is from RNAcentral.